RNAcentral lists this microRNA precursor (77 nucleotides) under Gorilla gorilla gorilla (western lowland gorilla). RNAcentral's name for it is "miRNA (ENSGGOG00000029614.2)". It matches the Rfam family "mir-596 microRNA precursor family". The record is from RNAcentral. Lineage: Eukaryota; Metazoa; Chordata; Mammalia; Primates; Hominidae.
AGCACGGCCUCUCCGAAGCCUGCCCGGCUCCUCGGGAACGUGCCUCCCGCAUGGCAGCUGCUGCCCUUCAGAGGCCG